RNAcentral lists this long non-coding RNA (1035 nucleotides) under Fukomys damarensis (Damara mole-rat). RNAcentral's name for it is "lncRNA (ENSFDAG00000022431.1)". The record is from RNAcentral. Lineage: Eukaryota; Metazoa; Chordata; Mammalia; Rodentia; Bathyergidae.
GCUCUGGAUGAACAGGAGAAAGAGAUCAGGUCAGUAUGGACUGGGCAAAAGGAACCAGUUUUUCUAGUUGCCUAGAGUAAAAAGGGCAACUUAAUUGAAUUUAACAUGAAUAUAAUUUAACAGAUGGUGACCUCUAAGAGAUCCAUGAGUGGAAAUGGUAGAAAGGCACAGUGGGUACCUGGAGGACUAGAAGUGUUGGCUGAGAAUGCUACGUGCAAAGACAAAGGGGUAGAAAAGAGUGUGCUGCAUCUGGAGAACAACUGAUGAUCCACGUGACUGUUUAUUAUGACAUAUCUGUGCAAAUGAUGGAGAAAUGCCCAGCAGUGCAGCAAAGCACAGUCCUGGCAAAUCUGACACACAUCAGAUGGCUGACUGAGGACGGCCAAGAGCGGGCCCUGUGGAAAGGACUCCAGUGGUAUGGAUGGCUGUUCUGCUGAGUGAGCACAGAAGAAUAAAGCCCACCAAGCUUACACCAUGAAGACUCAUCCGUUGUUCCAGAUCGUCUCUGCAUACGACUACUCAACCGGCAUCUGCACUGUGAAUGUACAGUACACGUUCUAAAAGAAGCAAGUACAAUUUUACUAAAUGUACUUUUAAAAAUAUCCUAACUGAAGUCCAAUUUGGUGUUUGGCCAGCUUAAACAACAACAAAAAAGAGAAAUGUAAAAAAAAAAAAUGAGCAUGGCUUUUAUUUUCGUUGGUUAUAUGACCACCUUCUCACUACAUACAUCAGUUAGCAGAGUCUGCUUUCAGCAGUGGAAAUUUCAUUAUCACAUCUAAUUCUGGUUUGGUAGCACAUUAAACUUUCAAACAGUUAAUGACUCUGGUUUUCUUUCUGUUCAGCUUUACCUUUCAUAAAAGUACCGGCAAGAGGCAAGGAACGACAGUAAGACUGAAUUAUGAACUUUAAAAAGUUGAGAACAAGUAAGUACUUGUACUGUGAAAGCCGCACUCGCUGCUCUUGAUUAGCUGUCUGCAGUAGGUCAGCAGUGAGCGCCUCGUGCUGCGGCGGUGGUGGUUGUCGCAGAUAAGCAGA